CAUCUGAUCCCAACCCCUCCCCUUCUCCCACCUGAAUUUCGUCGGAACACCAGGAUCACAGGACGCGUACUUUUCUGUAUUGUUAGGGUAUGGUCUCAUUUUUUUUUUCCAAAGGCGGAGGAGUCUCGCUGCAUUACAUUUUCCGUCACCCGUGCUCUACUGAUGGUGAAUUGUACACUGUGAACAUUUUCGCCUAAAUCAGGCCAUAUUUCAAACCGGGCUAAGCCCCAUUCCAUUUUGUCUUUCUUGAUGACUGAAAUGAAUGGAGCAUGCUGUUCUUCUAGGCCCAUGUCUGUCGGACCAGCUACCAACAAGGAGCGGUAUGGCUAUCGUAUAAGUAGUGUUUGCAGUUCAAGUUCUAUAUGUCCUUAAUAUGGAAAUAUCUCUUUAGGGGUUCAUUUUCACCAUGUUUGGAAUUCUUAAAGCUUAUGCAUGUCUUAAUGCUGGAUUUAGCGCUUUCUUUUUGAAAUUCCAGUGCUUUAGCAGUAUAUAUGGCUGUGGAGCUGGUGUGCUGGGUGUACAUCCUAUAAUGUUGGCACGACAUGGUGAAUUAGUCCAUGACUAGUGGUGGGUUGAUUCCCAUCCUGGUUAUGAUUCGCAUCCUGAGAAUCCUGACAUGCUUGGUUACACAGGCCAUCCAGGAUAUCCAUAUUACGGACAGCAGCAAGCACAGGAGACCCCAGUACAGUGAGGAUGCCAGCUCAGGGAACAUCUCAGUUGCAAGGAAUUCCAUGUGCUCUGAGCAAUUUGAACAGCAGCGCGGUUGAAGAGAGGUCAUGCUCCAGUUGAAGGUGUGCAUCAUGGACAUGCAUGGAGGUGAGGAUGCUUUUGAUCUCCUCCUCAAAAUGGAGAAUUGAUUGGUCCGUCAUUUUCCACACAUAUAUGCAACAAGAACAGACAUAUCACAUGGAUAUCAAGCGUCAAGAUAGCUAGCCAGUGUAUGUGAAUGUUGCAACUUAUCUAGCUCUCGCCCUCGACUCAGGUUGUCCAUUCAUCAUAGGUGUGGAUGGACCCGGAGGAAGGAAAUCUGCUUCAGACUUUGACAUGCGACGUUUUUGUAGGUUUAUCUGACCAGUUCUAUUCACUCCGUACAUGAAGUGUGCAUCUUCGGGGUGUAAAAGGCCAAGAUUUUUUGUGUUGUCUAAGGAAAGACAGGCGGCACAUAAAUAUCUCUUCAAUAGAUGCAAACCUUUCCCGACUUUUUGGUACUAACAGUGAAUUUUUCAGGUUACCAUGUAGUUCAUUUUUCUUUUCGGGCCGAAAACACACAAUGUAUUUUUGGUGCUUGCUCAGCACCUCGUUGUUGUUCUAUGUAAUGUACACUGGCAAAGAAAAAUCAUAGGUAUAGAUACUGCUAUAUACUGUAUAAUGUACAUGGAGAAAUUUUCAUAAAAAAUAUGGCUAUUUGUACCUGGUAUAAAAAGACAAGAGAUAAGUUCUUUC
Brachypodium distachyon (stiff brome) is the source of this 1443-nucleotide long non-coding RNA. RefSeq lists it as uncharacterized. The record is from RefSeq and is a predicted model, not a curated record. Lineage: Eukaryota; Viridiplantae; Streptophyta; Magnoliopsida; Poales; Poaceae. The transcript is spliced from 5 exons.